This 331-nucleotide ribosomal RNA is filed under the name uncultured bacterium. RNAcentral's name for it is "bacterial SSU rRNA". It matches the Rfam family "Bacterial small subunit ribosomal RNA", at positions 568 to 898 of the family's 1533-position model. The record is from RNAcentral.
CGCGUAGGCGGGUUCUCAAGUCGGUGGUGAAAUCUUUCGGCUCAACCGGAAAAUGGCCUCCGAUACUGGGAACCUCGAGGGAGGUAGGGGCAUGCGGAACUUCGGGUGGAGCGGUGAAAUGCGUAGAUAUCCGAAGGAACGCCGGUGGCGAAAGCGGCGUGCUGGACCUCUUCUGACGCUGAUGCGCGAAAGCCAGGGGAGCAAACGGGAUUAGAUACCCCGGUAGUCCUGGCCCUAAACGAUGGGUACUGGGUUGUGGACUGGACAUGGGUUCACAGCCGAAGCAAAAGUGUUAAGUACCCCGCCUGGGGAGUAUGGUCGCAAGGCUGAA